RNAcentral lists this ribosomal RNA (465 nucleotides) under uncultured bacterium. Its description in RNAcentral is "partial 16S ribosomal RNA". It matches the Rfam family "Bacterial small subunit ribosomal RNA", at positions 339 to 795 of the family's 1533-position model. The record is from RNAcentral.
CUACGGGGGGCAGCAGUGGGGAAUAUUGGACAAUGGGGGCAACCCUGAUCCAGCAAUACCGCGUGUGUGAAGAAGGCCCGAGGGUUGUAAAGCACUUUCAGUAGGGAGGAUUAAUGUUACGGUUAAUACCCGUGAUAUUUGACGUUACCUACAGAAGAAGCACCGGCUAACUCAGUGCCAGCAGCCGCGGUAAUACUGAGGGUGCAAGCGUUAAUCGGAAUUACUGGACGUAAAGCGGGCGUAGGUGGUUAGAUCAGUUGGGUGUGAAAGCCCCGAGCUUAACUUGGGAACUGCAUUCAAUACUGUCUAGCUAGAGUAUGGUAGAGGGAAGUGGAAUUCCGCAUGUAGCGGUGAAAUGCGUAGAGGUGCGGAGGAACACCAGUGGCGAAGGCGACUUCCUGGACCAAUACUGACACUGAGGUGCGAAAGCGUGGGGAGCAAACAGGAUUAGAUACCCUCGUAGUC